Cricetulus griseus (Chinese hamster) is the source of this 2227-nucleotide non-coding RNA. The record is from RefSeq and is a predicted model, not a curated record. Lineage: Eukaryota; Metazoa; Chordata; Mammalia; Rodentia; Cricetidae.
UUCUCCUCAUCUGGUAGCCCCGCUUAUACUUUCUGCCUGGCCCCUGGCCAAUCAGUGUUUUAGUCAUCAACCAAUAAGAGAAACAUACAUACAGGACAUUCCCCCAUCACUUUUCCCUUCCUUAUAAAAUGAGGGUUCUGGUCCAGUGGUUCUUUUUCUGACUUUCAGUGUGUUUGGGCUUUGCUAGCUGCCACACCCUGACCCCACUCUCUGGGUCUCUCUCCCUUCACAUGCCAUCCUGCACAGGGCAUUCUUAAUGAAGCCGUGGGAAACUGCUGAUGGCCAGAUGGUUGUCUUAGAAACACUUGGAUGUCAGAGCAUCCGGUCCUGACUAAGGCCCUGCUGGGGAGUCUCCCCAGAAAUGCUAUUGGUAGUGGUGGGUCUGCUCCUUGGAUCUCGUGACACAGGCAUUAUUGUUUGCAAGGAGCUUCGUGGGACCGGGGAUGCAGCCCAUUUGACAGAAUGCCUGCUUAGAUGCACACGGCUUGGGCUGUGAUCACCAUCACAGCAUAAAACCAGGCGUGAUGACGGAUGCCUCUAACUUCAGCACUCAGGAAGCUGAGGCAUAAGGAUUGAAAGUUUAAGAUCCUCCUUGGCUACUUGAGAUGCCUUCUCGGAACCCUAAAGGAAGCAUCAUUAAAAAAACUAUCCAUCUAUGUAUCUGUUUGUUUUUGAGGGACGAGGUGAUGGGUACCAGCCUUUCCCUUCAAGUCUCUGGCAUCUGUUCCUGAAGAUGAUCAGUAUUAAGCCUGGCCUGGUUGCAGAAGUUUGCAAUGUCAUCUUUUUUGGAAACUGAGGCAGGAGGAUCUCAAGUUCAAGGCCAGCCUGGGUCCCUGUGACCCUGGUGGCCCAUGGUGCCUUCUCUCUGCAAAUUCUUUCGCGUGGCUUCUGCAGUAUAUACUACACGACCUGAUGCUCAGCCACCCUGCUGACCUCAUCCUGUGUCGCCCACCCCCUCGGCCACUGGGCUGCAGCCAUAUUGGAUUGCUUGCUUAGUGGUUGUUCUGCCUCAGGACCUUGCACCUGCUCUUGCCCCAGUAUGCUGGCUGUGCGUGGGAUUUCCUGGGGAUUCAGAAAGAAAGGUAGUGUCUGGCCCAUCUGCAGACUCUGCUCCGUUGGUCCAGGAAGCGGCCUGGGCAUCGUUGUAUUUCUCAAGUUCUCUGAGUGCCUCUGUGGAGCCCCCUAGUCAAAGGGUGGCACCCCCUGGGCAGUACUCAGAGGACCUUUCCCUGACCUCAGCGUCCAGCAUGGCUGUCUGUGCAUCUCAGCUUCCCCACCACUUCCCAGACAGCUCCCCUUUCACGUCUCUUGGCAGAGUGCCAUCUGACCUGUAACGGGGCCGUUGUGUGGCUGGGACCAGAAAACCUAGAAUUGCCAUCAGUCACUUCCUUUUUCUUAUACGUAGCAUCUCAUCCAUCGAUGAACCCCUGGACACAACUUUCAGAUCCUUCCUCAGUCUGACCCCUUCUCACUUCCUCCAACACCGUAGCUACCCUGGUGCCACUACCCUGGCUCCCCCUCCCAGCCAAGCUCUCUGCCUCCAGCUUGGAUUCUGCAGUCUAGACACACCACACAGUGGCCUGUGACACACAUCUGAUCAAGUCAUCUCUGGUGCUCAAGCCUUUAGCAGCUUUGCAUCUAACUGGAACUGAAGAAGAAGCCCUCACGUGGCCUGGCUGUCAUCUGACCCUCAGCUGCCUACAAGGCCUCAUCUUAGACCUCUUCUGUCCUCAGGUCUCAAGCUCAGCCGCAUCAGCCUUAUGGUUGUGCAUGCCUCGGGAUCUUUGCCAGUUCUGAGACCCAGACACUUACCCCCUACAAAGGAUGAUCAGUGAUCAUUCUUGGAGGGAUUGUCCCUGGCCCAAAAUGGACAACAUGCCAUGCCCUUCUUUGCUUUAAAAUAAUAUUUAUCAUCUCUGAUGCUGUAUCGAAUGUAUAGUUGCAUAUAGUUUAUCUCUAGUACCACAAUGUAAAUGUUACAAAACCAGGACUUUGUAGAUUUCUAUAGAGAAUGGCAUCUGAGGCUAGGGACCUAUUCAGUGUAGUCUGGUUGUUUAGCAUGCACAAGGCCCUGGUUUUGAGCCCCAGACCGCUAUGUUGGGCUAGGGGUGGAUUUCAUAUCUAUACAUACUAGGUAGUUAGUAGUGUAGGUGGAGUUUCUGUCCCUCCUGGUCCCGAAGCCCCAUUUAGUCCCAAAUAAACACACAGAGGCUUAUAUUAAUUAUAA